CAAAAGAGGGGGAUAGCCCGGGGAAACUCGGAUUAAUACCGCGUAUGAUCCUUCAGGACAUCCUGAAGCGAUCGAGGGUGGCCUUUGUGCUGCCGCUUUUGGAUGGGCUCGCGGCCUAUCAGCUUGUUGGUGAGGUAACGGCUCACCAAGGCGACGACGGGUAGNUGGUCUGAGAGGAUGAUCAGUCACACUGGAACUGAGACACGGUCCAGACACCUACGGGUGGCAGCAGUCGAGAAUCAUUCGCAAUGGGCGAAAGCCUGACGGUGCGACGCCGCGUGGAGGAUGACGGCCCUAGGGUUGUAAACUCCUGUCAUCAGAGAGUAAUGCCUCAAGUAGUAACUGGCUUGAGGAGUGAUAGUAUCUGAAGAGGAAGGGACGGCUAACUUCGUGCCAGCAGCCGCGGUAAUACGAAGGUCCCAAGCGUUGUUCGGAUUUACUGGGCGUAAAGCGUCUGUAGGCGGUGGGGUAAGUCAGAUGUGAAAUCCCGAGGCUCAACCUCGGAACUGCAUCCGAUACUGCUUCACUAGAGUACUGGAGGGGCAUCUGGAAUUCACGGUGUAGCAGUGAAAUGCGUAGAUAUCGUGAGGAACACUAGUGGCGAAGGCGAGAUGCUGGACAGUAACUGACGCUGAGAGACGAAGGCCAGGGUAGCGAAAAGGAUUAGAUACCCUUGUAGUCCUGGCAGUAAACGGUGCACGCUUGGUGUGGGAGGAUUCGACCCCUUCCGUGCCGGAGCUAACGCGUUAAGCGUGCCGCCUGGGGAGUACGGCCGCAAGGCUAAAACUCAAAGGAAUUGANUAG
Molecule: ribosomal RNA, 804 nt
Filed under: uncultured Verrucomicrobiaceae bacterium
Lineage: Bacteria; Pseudomonadati; Verrucomicrobiota; Verrucomicrobiia; Verrucomicrobiales; Verrucomicrobiaceae
Description: bacterial SSU rRNA
Rfam family: Bacterial small subunit ribosomal RNA
Source: RNAcentral